GUGGGGAAUUUUGGACAAUGGGCGCAAGCCUGAUCCAGCAAUGCCGCGUGCAGGAAGAAGGCCUUCGGGUUGUAAACUGCUUUUGUACGGAACGAAAAGGCUCUGGUUAAUACCUGGGGCUCAUGACGGUACCGUAAGAAUAAGCACCGGCUAACUACGUGCCAGCAGCCGCGGUAAUACGUAGGGUGCAAGCGUUAAUCGGAAUUACUGGGCGUAAAGCGUGCGCAGGCGGUUUUGUAAGACAGAGGUGAAAUCCCCGGGCCCAACCUGGGAACUGCAUUUGUGACUGCACGACUAGAGUACGGCAGAGGGGGGUAGAAUUCCACGUGGAGCAGUGAAAUGCGUAGCGAUGUGGAGGAAUACCGAUGGCGAAGGCAGCCCCCUGGGCCGAUACUGACGCUCAUGCACGAAAGCGUGGGGAGCAAACAGGAUUAGAAACCCUGGUAGUCC
Molecule: ribosomal RNA, 450 nt
Filed under: uncultured bacterium
Lineage: Bacteria
Description: partial 16S ribosomal RNA
Rfam family: Bacterial small subunit ribosomal RNA
Source: RNAcentral